AUUGAACGCUGGCGGCAGGCCUAACACAUGCAAGUCGAGCGGACGAAGGGAGCUUGCUCCUGGAUUCAGCGGCGGACGGGUGAGUAAUGCCUAGGAAUCUGCCUGGUAGUGGGGGAUAACGUCCGGAAACGGGCGCUAAUACCGCAUACGUCCUGAGGGAGAAAGUGGGGGAUCUUCGGACCUCACGCUAUCAGAUGAGCCUAGGUCGGAUUAGCUAGUUGGUGGGGUAAAGGCCUACCAAGGCGACGAUCCGUAACUGGUCUGAGAGGAUGAUCAGUCACACUGGAACUGAGACACGGUCCAGACUCCUACGGGAGGCAGCAGUGGGGAAUAUUGGACAAUGGGCGAAAGCCUGAUCCAGCCAUGCCGCGUGUGCGAAGAAGGUCUUCGGAUUGUAAAGCACUUUAAGUUGGGAGGAAGGGCAGUAAGUUAAUACCUUGCUGUUUUGACGUUACCAACAGAAUAAGCACCGGCUAACUUCGUG
Molecule: ribosomal RNA, 484 nt
Filed under: uncultured bacterium
Lineage: Bacteria
Description: partial 16S ribosomal RNA
Rfam family: Bacterial small subunit ribosomal RNA
Source: RNAcentral